Long non-coding RNA from Apis cerana (Asiatic honeybee), 5437 nucleotides. RefSeq lists it as uncharacterized. NCBI's taxonomy places the organism in Eukaryota, Metazoa, Arthropoda, Insecta, Hymenoptera, Apidae. The record is from RefSeq and is a predicted model, not a curated record.
UUCUUUAACGCCAAUUUCUUUUCAAUGGAAAUAGGAUAAAAUAUGACGUAUAGAUUUAUGAUAUUUUCUUCUCUUGUAAUGACAAUUUCUUGUAAAAUAUAGUUACUACAUAUUACAAAUUUUUCCGAUCCAAAUUUCUAUUUCUCUCUUCGUUUAAUAUUAAAAAGUUAAAAAAAAAGAAAGAAUUAAAAAUUUAAUAUAAAUGAAAAUUUAUAUAAAAUACGCCAAUGAACUUUUAGAAAGAAAGAUCGUAACUUUAAAAAUAUCGUAAUUUUUCUUCCAUUCUAAAAUUAGACUGAUCAUAGAUUUAUUAAGAAAAUAUUCGUCUUAAAAAAACUUUUAUUCCUAUCUCGUAGAGAUGGAACGUACAUCGAGAUUAUUAAUCAGCAUGUUUCUUUUUUAACAAUAAUCAUUUGAAAUAUUUGUCACUUGUAUCUUUUAUAUUAUCGAUACACGUUCCUUCAAUUAUAUUCUGAAAAAAUUUUAAUGCAUCACACUUAUUUUUAUCCUUUUUAUUAUACCUCUAUCUAACUUGUAAUAUCGAAAUUUAUAUUCAAUAUCUGUUCGAAAAUACUGGGAAAAUUAUCAUCUUUGCAAAAACUAUGAUACAAAAUUUCGAUAAGGAAAAUGCAUCGAGAUCGAUUCGUUUAAUCGAAAACCUUUCCUCCCUCUAUCCAUCGCAAUCAAUUACCGGACACUUUGCAAACGCGACAAUAGUUAACGUCUAAUGACAACUGGCGUUGACGUAACUCGAAACCAGGGUGUGUUCCGAUUGUUAUAUACCAGGACUCCAAUUCUCGUUACGCAAACAACGCGGAACAAUCGAUCAAUCGAAUUGUUUAUUUAUCGCGAAGUUUAGAAUAAAGUGUGUCACCAUCAACUCUCUGCCUUCUCUUCGAUUCGAUUCGGUUUGAUCGCAUUGUCGAUUCGUUCCGAUUUUAAAACGUAACAGGUAGACUAGAGGGUGGGUACAUACUUAUUUUCGUUUCGUUUCGUUUAUUUUCGCUACUUCCUGCCGAGAGAUUACGAGGAACAUCGCCGGGGAAAAGAAUUGGUCGAGGUAUUCACGUGAAUGUUACGAAAUGAAUUUAUAUUGAUGAUGAGAGGCAUGCGCGUUAUUUAAUACGUUGAAUAAGCCUGAUGUACAUCAUAUUAUUUCGAGAAAUGUUCUAAAUAUUUCUUUUCUGGAUGGGUAAUCUUUGAAAAAAACCUUUCUUCUUUGCUUCGGAUUUAGAAUAAAGAUGUUUUCAGGAAGAUAUUCGUGCAAUUUCGAUAUAAAGGGGAACGAGUGGUAAUAACUGCGAUUUUUUAAAAUAAUACUUUCGUUUUUAUAUCGUCGAAUUGUUGUAAAGAGAUUACACGUUACUCGUGUUACUGGAGGAAUGUUUAUUUUUACAUUUAUCAUACAUUUGGACUACCGAAUAAUUUAUCAAAUUGUUAAAUCAUUAAAUAACAUCAACAGAAAUAUUUAAUAAUGAGAUUACAUGGCAAUUGAUACAAGUAAAAUAUAAUUUUACGAAGAAAUUUCGAAAAUACGUUAGAAAUGAUAUUUCAAGAGCAAGUUAAAAUAAUUAUCGAAUAAAAAGUGAUUUUUUUUUUACCAAGAUACCAUUUAAAUUAGAAAAUUUUUAUAAUUAGUCGGAUUACUAGUAAAAUGUUUUAUACAGAUAAUGUAAAUUAUAUCGUUCGACAUUAAUAGAGUUAAGCGUUUAAUGGUUUUUAUUUAUAAGCGGCAAAAUACUUGCGAUUCAAGGUUCUUAAAUUAAAAAAGUGGACGUGUAGUGGCGACCAGUUGGAUUGCAUCUGCCGCAAGAUAAUUACAUUGAUAAUUACAUUCGUUGCAAAGGAACUACUUAUUGUAAAGGAUGCGAUAAAGGGGUUUCGACGCGAAAGAAAAUCGCAAAUAAGACGAUAUGUAGGAUACAGCUGUGCAUAUACCUAUAAUAAUCCACCUAUUAAAGUAUUUUCUACUUAAUAUUAUCUUUGGCAAUGCAGAUAUGGGAAAAGUACCAUUACUUGAAAAGCAAUUAUCUAAAUGUUCUAAUCGAAUGUCGUAUUAUACAAAUAUUUUACAAAUUGAUUGUUUCGAAUUAAAUCUAUUUUAUUAUUCCGAAUAAGUAUAUUUUCUUCGGUGAAGUAACGAAAACGAGAACUCUAAUUCAGAGGAAAAAUUGAAAAUAUUUUUAAAAUUGUUAUAUCAUAUAGAUACCCUUUGCUCGGAUGAUCAUUAAUAUUAUCAUUUCUUAUUAUAAUUUUUAAUUUUAUUUAUCAUAUUUAAAUAUAAUCCGAUAACCAUUGUGUCUUCGUGUUAAUUUAAAUUUUAUAUUAUAUUAAUAAUUAAAUUAUUAGGUCCUAUUACGUUUCCUUUUAUGGAUAAAGUAUAGACAAAAUACAUUGUUCCCAUCAAAUAGUUGCCAUUGUUAAAUUACUGCACACUGUCAUCGAAUCCAGUUGUGGCACAACUGCAAAAGCGUUAAAUGUUUUUACCUCGUGGCAAGCCACGCUAGUCCGUGUUCUCGUUCUAUUAUUGUCUACUUUGCACGUAAUUUAAAACGGCUGCUAAUCGACCAAGUGUCGUGAAUUACGAGAUCUCAGCCACCCGUACAAAAGAAAUCGUACCCCUUCCUUAAAACGCUGUACCUACACUAAGGCAGAAAUCCAGAAAUGUAUAUUUUAUUCCCUAACGAUUAUUUCGGUGUCGUAAACCGAAGUAACCGAGACAGAGAAAGCAAGUUUUGCAGCAUGCUAAGAGGAAUAUGCGAAUAAGCGAGAAAUUGUCAUAAUUGAAAAGGACGUCUUGGCGAGUGGACUGUGUCGAACAAUUUAUUUUUACUAGACGUAUGGAAUUCGUGACGCUGUUUGGGAAAGUUGCUCCAAAGAUUCUGAGCGCUUUCACGAUAUUAGGAAUUCGAAAUUUAAAAUUUUUAAACUUUUCGAUUGAAAUUUAGAAGAAGAAGGAGAAAGAAUAUAAAUUCAAAUACGAUGAUAAUAUUUUAAAAAUUAACAAUAUAAUUUUAUAAAUUGAUAAGGAACAAAAUUUUUAAAAUUAACAUAGCACAAUGAUGGAUUAAUUACGAAUAUUCUCCCCUCCUCUAAAAUUUUAUAUAAUUUUCGAAAAAGAUAUUGGAUAAAUAUAAAAAUAUUUAAAGAAAAUAAUAGAUUUAAACAAUGAGACUAUUCUCCGGUUGAUUUUUCUUUUCUUUUUUUUUUUUUUCGUUUCAAUGAGAACGGUCUUAAUGUUUCUAACGAGGACGAUUAGCUCAUAGACAAUGAUACGUCGUGAAAUCGAACUUAAUCAUCUAAUGCAAUUAAUUGGAUUUGAUUCAGUAAUGCUUAAUAGAUCGUAUUAUUUGACGCGACGUUUGCGUCAUCGUGGUUAGUCUCAUUUUUCUUUUUUUUUUUGUAUUACGAAUAAACAGUGCAAAAAUUUACAAACGAUUAUUCGAUUUUUCUCAGUUUUGUCUUUGCUAUUUUUCGACUUUCGUUUCCAAGAUUUCCUUUUUUUAUAUAUUAUUAAAUACACAAAUAAGAGAGGAUAAUUUCGCGUUACUGAGAAAGUUUCGAGCGAAACUGCAAGCUUGUUUUGUUUAUAAUCAAAGAUUUUUAAAUAAACGGAUUAGAGAGAUAUAGAAAAUUUUGAAAAAAAUUGGAUAAACAGCAAUCGUAGACUAAAUAAUUUUCUUUUUAUAUUUAUAACAGUUUAUUCGUGAUUCGUUCAAUCUAAAUUCCAUAUUUAAAUUACCUUUUAAUUUACGAACUAAUAAUAAUAACAAUUAACAAAUUAUUAAAUUACAAAAUUUUCUUUCAAAAUUUCAUAACUUAUAUUAAUAACAAUACAUGAUUUAUCACACCUGGAACCGAAUCUUCAAAAUUUUAUACAUCAAUAGUUUAAAUCUAUAAUAAAAUUUCUCUCAAUACUCGAACAUAAAAGGAUUAAAUCUCGCGAAGAAACCUGUCACAAAAAAAAAAAAAAAGAAAAUGAAAGAAAGACAAUCUUCCCUUUCAUCAUCUUAUCUUAUCCUUGCCCCGUAUCGAUCGAUCGAUCCAAUUCGAUCCACGCACUUUAUAAAUAAUAGAGCAACCACCAUUAUACCAUUUCCGCUUAUCGAUCGCUUGUCACGCGAGAGGAAAACGCAUCUCGAAGGUCUGUGAUGCCGGCCGGCAUCCACGACGCGAUGGACAAUCGCGAGCGACGAUCGCCAAUUAUCCGCGCGGUGCCGGCGAAAUUAGUGGCGUUGAUGCGCGCUGGGUCGGGCAUGGAAACGCGUGGUCGCUCGCCUUCGGACAGGCGAUAAAGUGCGAAUUAAUUCAGCGUUAAUUCCACGCCUGCCGGCUUCCACCGCCGCGGGGAAAACGCGCACGGCCCGAUGAAAACCGAAACUUCAUUAAGUUCGACUUCAUAAUUCGUUUCGUUUAACGACAAUGUUCCCGGCCUAUUUUCGCAAUAUGGAACGGAUUGUCGAAAGGGAAGGAUUUUCAUCCUUUCGAGCUGUUUAAUUUCGAUCGUUGCUGAUUGUGAUGUUUGCAUAUUGAAGGAAGAUAGUGAACGAAAAAAAGAGGGAAUAGAUAUCUGUUAUAUGUGUAGAAAAAUUAACGAUGUGACAAAAUAAAACUUUUUAAAAAAUGAUAUCGACAAAAUUCUUACGUCGAGUACAUGGGAUUAUUACAAAUCAAAGUUGCAAAUAAUAAAUUCCCAAGAAUCAAUAAUUUUUAAAUCUUCAUCUUGAGUUCGGAAGCGUAAGAUUAUGGUUCAGCAUUCCGUCGAAACGGCAAAGGUUAAAGGAUCGUUUGCUUUAAGUCUGCUACGACCUCUGAAUCUUUUACGAUCCCAUUGCGUUCUCGUUUUGGUAAACAACAGUUAAAAGUAAGUUCUUAAAGUAGAUAAACGUGAUGUUGAAGCAUUAAAGGAGAAGAUACAAUAUCGUAACAAUACUUUAUCUUUAUAAUCUUUAAUAGUUGAUAAAUCGUUACCAAAUAUAAUAAACAACAGUGACUCAAAUUUAAAAAUGUUUCCAAGAUAACGAAAUCUUAUAUCAAUUUUUUAUCAAUGAUAUUUCGAGUAUUCAACCAUUGAUACAAGGAUAUAUACGAAAAACGAAAAUUCAAAUUUGCUUCGUCGAUCAAGAAGCAACAACCGACAAGCAAAAGAAGAAAAGAAACGAACGAAUGAAAAGAACGAAAAAGAGAAAAUCCCAAAAACUACCGUGGAGGAAGUGAACCUAACCAAUAGGAUCAACUAGAAUGAAAGAGAAAGUGUCGUUUUACCAAAUCUUCAGCGUCAGACGAGGUCGAUCGUUCUGUAGGGGGUUGAUACAGAAGCUCGACGUAGCAAGGUUGAUUGUAAGUAUAAUUGCAAAAGAGACACGGACGAAAGGAGAGGGUGAGGGGGCACGACGAAACAGAAAAAGAAGGAGAGAGAGAGAGAGAGAGAGAGAGA